GACGAACGCUGGCGGCGUGCCUAAUACAUGCAAGUCGAACGCGAGCACUUGUGCUCGAGUGGCGAACGGGUGAGUAAUACAUAAGUAACCUGCCCUAGACAGGGGGGAUAACUAUUGGAAACGAUAGCUAAGACCGCAUAGGUACGGACACUGCAUGGUGACCGUAUUAAAAGUGCCUCAAAGCACUGGUAGAGGAUGGACUUAUGGCGCAUUAGCUGGUUGGCGGGGUAACGGCCUACCAAGUCGAUGAUCAGUAGCCGGACUGAGAGGUUGAACGGCCACAUUGGGACUGAGAUACGGCCCAG
RNAcentral lists this ribosomal RNA (305 nucleotides) under uncultured bacterium. Its description in RNAcentral is "bacterial SSU rRNA". It matches the Rfam family "Bacterial small subunit ribosomal RNA", at positions 28 to 334 of the family's 1533-position model. The record is from RNAcentral.